Non-coding RNA from Prunus avium (sweet cherry), 838 nucleotides. The record is from RefSeq and is a predicted model, not a curated record. NCBI's taxonomy places the organism in Eukaryota, Viridiplantae, Streptophyta, Magnoliopsida, Rosales, Rosaceae.
UAUUGAAUUUUCUCUUAUCUGCAUCACUGAAAGUAUCCUCUCUAUAAAAUCUGAUAUUUUCCUCUUCUUUUUUCAGGCGCUAUAUAUAAUCUGGUGUCAGGUGGUUGAGUAUAAAUAGGAUUCUUGAAACAAUCAACUCUUUACACUUUUAUCCGGGGCCUUCGGCUCUUAUCUUUACAGCAAAAUCUGUUUUGUUUUCAACUUAUAAUUACGCCAUUUAACUUGUUAUCAGAUCUGAAGCUUAAGGAAGGCGGUUUCCUAGAAACUCAAAAGUCCCAGCCUUUCAGCAGCUCUCAAAUCUCAUCAAACCCCACCUCAUAUUCAGAUUCUGAGAGCUACCCGUUUCCCAUAAUUGUGUAGGAAAUUAUGGGUCGUCCUUGGUUUUUAAGAUUUUUCAUAGUUUCUUGCCUUCUGGCUCUCUGUUUCUCUCAUGGAUUUGGGAGAAACCUGAUGGGGACUAUUGAUCUUGAAGAUUUUUCAGUUCUAGUGUCAAAGGAGACGCAUGGAAAACCCAGGAAAAUGAUCACAGUGAUGGAUUAUGCAGAUCCAGAGCCAAAUGUUAACCCCAGAACAGGGUAUAUCUUUACCCCUCCUCCGCAGCCCAACUAAAAUGACCAAUUUGCUGCAAGGAAAUAAAGUCAUGUCGGUUUUCAUUUCACUUUCUUACUUUCACCUUUAUGGUGAAAUAUGAAGCAUUUUUAGUUCAGGUUCUUCGUCCAGUGUAUUUAUGUUGCAUUUCUCUCUCUCUCUCUCUCUCUCUCUCUCUCUCUCUCUCUCUCUCUAAUAUUGUAGUUCUGAAUGGUAAUUACUGAUUAUCAAAUUUUUUUUUUCAGCAUUA